GUGCUCGCUUCGGCAGCACAUAUACUAAAAUUGGAAUAAUACAGAGAUUAGCAUGGCCCCUGUGCAAGGAUGACAUGCAAAUUCGUGAAGUGUUCCAUUAAAAA
Molecule: small nuclear RNA, 104 nt
Organism: Homo sapiens (human)
Lineage: Eukaryota; Metazoa; Chordata; Mammalia; Primates; Hominidae
Source: Ensembl